This is a small nuclear RNA of Humulus lupulus (European hop), 197 nucleotides long. RefSeq annotates it as U2 spliceosomal RNA. The record is from RefSeq and is a predicted model, not a curated record. NCBI's taxonomy places the organism in Eukaryota, Viridiplantae, Streptophyta, Magnoliopsida, Rosales, Cannabaceae. The transcript has a single exon.
AUACCUUUCUCGGCCUUUUGGCUAAGAUCAAGUGUAGUAUCUGUUCUUAUCAGUUCAAUAUCUGAUACGUGGACCAAAGGUUCACACGAUAUUAAAUUUUUUUUUUGAGGGGGAAAGCCCACUCCGAUAGCUUGCUAUUGGGGCUUUCAAGAAUGUCGCCCAGGCCUUACACUAUAGCUUGGGCAGGCGUGCCCCAC